AAAACGCAGAUGGGGAGCUGGUGCAAAGCCGGCUGAGAGUAGGCUGUAUGCCUUGACCCUUAAACCUGAUUUGGAUAAUGCCAACGUAGGGAAUGCGCUCCGACCGUGCA
Molecule: non-coding RNA, 110 nt
Filed under: Treponema porcinum
Lineage: Bacteria; Pseudomonadati; Spirochaetota; Spirochaetia; Treponematales; Treponemataceae
Description: TPP sequence
Rfam family: TPP riboswitch aptamer (THI element)
About the family: Vitamin B(1) in its active form thiamin pyrophosphate (TPP) is an essential coenzyme that is synthesised by coupling of pyrimidine and thiazole moieties in bacteria. The previously detected thiamin-regulatory element, thi box was extended, resulting in a new, highly conserved RNA secondary structure, the THI element, which is widely distributed in eubacteria and also occurs in some archaea. Analysis of operon structures identified a large number of new candidate thiamin-regulated genes, mostly transporters, in various prokaryotic organisms.
Source: Rfam by way of RNAcentral